Molecule: ribosomal RNA, 887 nt
Filed under: uncultured Bacteroidota bacterium
Lineage: Bacteria; Pseudomonadati; Bacteroidota
Description: bacterial SSU rRNA
Rfam family: Bacterial small subunit ribosomal RNA
Source: RNAcentral
GAGUUUGAUCCUGGCUCAGGAUGAACGCUAGCGGCAGGCUUAACACAUGCAAGUCGAACGGUAACAGAAAAAGCUUGCUUUUUGCUGACGAGUGGCGAACGGGUGCGUAACGCGUAUGCAACCUACCUUCUCCUAAGGAAUAGCCCAGAGAAAUUUGGAUUAAUACCUUAUGAUAAUAUUUAUUCGCAUGUUUAAAUAUUUAAAAUUUCGAUGGAAGAAGAUGGGCAUGCGUAACAUUAGUUUGUUGGUGAGGUAAUGGCUCACCAAGACUACGAUGUUUAGGGGGUCUGAGAGGAUGAUCCCCCACACUGGUACUGAGACACGGACCAGACUCCUACGGGAGGCAGCAGUGAGGAAUAUUGGUCAAUGGACGAAAGUCUGAACCAGCCAUGCCGCGUGAAGGAUGACGGCCCUACGGGUUGUAAACUUCUUUUGUAUAGGAAGAAACCCCUCUACGUGUAGAGGGUUGACGGUACUAUUCGAAUAAGCACCGGCUAACUCCGUGCCAGCAGCCGCGGUAAUACGGAGGGUGCGAGCGUUAUCCGGAAUUAUUGGGUUUAAAGGGUGCGUAGGCGGAAAUUUAAGUCAGUGGUGAAAGCCUGCAGCUUAACUGUAGAAUUGCCAUUGAUACUGAAUUUCUUGAAUCUAAUUGAAGUAGGCGGAAUAUGACAUGUAGCGGUGAAAUGCUUAGAUAUGUCAUAGAACACCGAUAGCGAGGCAGCUUACUAAGUUAGUAUUGACGCUAAUGCACGAAAGCGUGGGGAGCGAACAGGAUUAGAUACCCUGGUAGUCCACGCCGUAAACGAUGAUUACUCGCUAUUGGCGAUACACUGUCAGUGGCUAAGCGAAAGUGAUAAGUAAUCACCUGGGGAGUACGAUCGCAAGGU